RNAcentral lists this ribosomal RNA (303 nucleotides) under uncultured bacterium. Its description in RNAcentral is "partial 16S ribosomal RNA". It matches the Rfam family "Bacterial small subunit ribosomal RNA", at positions 507 to 807 of the family's 1533-position model. The record is from RNAcentral.
AGCAGUAGCCACGGUAAUACGAAGGUCCCGAGCGUUGUUCGGAAUCACUGGGCGUAAAGGGAGCGUAGGCGGCGUGGUAAGUCAGAUGUGAAAUCCCGGGGCUCAACCCCGGAACUGCAUCCGAUACUGCCGUGCUAGAGGAUUGGAGAGGUAGCUGGAAUUCUUGGUGUAGCAGUGAAAUGCGUGGAGAUCAAGAGGAACACUCGUGGCGAAAGCGAGCUACUGGACAAUAUCUGACGCUGAGGCUCGAAGGCCAGGGUAGCGAAAGGGAUUAGAUACCCGAGUAGUCCCUGUCUCUUAUAC